AUUGAACGCUGGCGGCAGGCCUAACACAUGCAAGUCGAGCGGAUGAAGGGAGCUUGCUCCUGGAUUCAGCGGCGGACGGGUGAGUAAUGCCUAGGAAUCUGCCUGGUAGUGGGGGAUAACGUCCGGAAACGGGCGCUAAUACCGCAUACGUCCUGAGGGAGAAAGUGGGGGAUCUUCGGACCUCACGCUAUUAGAUGAGCCUAGGUCGGAUUAGCUAGUUGGUGGGGUAAAGGCCUACCAAGGCGACGAUCCGUAACUGGUCUGAGAGGAUGAUCAGUCACACUGGAACUGAGACACGGUCCAGACUCCUACGGGAGGCAGCAGUGGGGAAUAUUGGACAAUGGGCGAAAGCCUGAUCCAGCCAUGCCGCGUGUGUGAAGAAGGUCUUCGGAUUGUAAAGCACCUUAAGUUGGGAGGAAGGGCAGUAAGUUAAUACCUUGCUGUUUUGACGUUACCAACAGAAUAAGCACCGGCUAACUUCGUG
This 484-nucleotide ribosomal RNA is filed under the name uncultured bacterium. RNAcentral's name for it is "partial 16S ribosomal RNA". It matches the Rfam family "Bacterial small subunit ribosomal RNA", at positions 30 to 507 of the family's 1533-position model. The record is from RNAcentral.